RNAcentral lists this ribosomal RNA (2797 nucleotides) under Klebsiella pneumoniae. RNAcentral's name for it is "bacterial LSU rRNA". It matches the Rfam family "Bacterial large subunit ribosomal RNA". The record is from RNAcentral. Lineage: Bacteria; Pseudomonadati; Pseudomonadota; Gammaproteobacteria; Enterobacterales; Enterobacteriaceae.
CGGCGAUGUCCGAAUGGGGAAACCCAGUGCAAUUCGUUGCACUAUCGUUAACUGAAUACAUAGGUUAACGAGGCGAACCGGGGGAACUGAAACAUCUAAGUACCCCGAGGAAAAGAAAUCAACCGAGAUUCCCCCAGUAGCGGCGAGCGAACGGGGAGCAGCCCAGAGUCUGAAUCAGCUUGUGUGUUAGUGGAACGGUCUGGAAAGUCCGACGGUACAGGGUGAUAGUCCCGUACACCAAAAUGCACAGGCUGUGAACUCGAAGAGUAGGGCGGGACACGUGGUAUCCUGUCUGAAUAUGGGGGGACCAUCCUCCAAGGCUAAAUACUCCUGACUGACCGAUAGUGAACCAGUACCGUGAGGGAAAGGCGAAAAGAACCCCGGCGAGGGGAGUGAAAAAGAACCUGAAACCGUGUACGUACAAGCAGUGGGAGCACCUUCGGGUGUGACUGCGUACCUUUUGUAUAAUGGGUCAGCGACUUAUAUUCUGUAGCAAGGUUAACCGUAUAGGGGAGCCGCAGGGAAACCGAGUCUUAACUGGGCGUUAAGUUGCAGGGUAUAGACCCGAAACCCGGUGAUCUAGCCAUGGGCAGGUUGAAGGUUGGGUAACACUAACUGGAGGACCGAACCGACUAAUGUUGAAAAAUUAGCGGAUGACUUGUGGCUGGGGGUGAAAGGCCAAUCAAACCGGGAGAUAGCUGGUUCUCCCCGAAAGCUAUUUAGGUAGCGCCUCGUGAACUCAUCUUCGGGGGUAGAGCACUGUUUCGGCUAGGGGGUCAUCCCGACUUACCAACCCGAUGCAAACUACGAAUACCGAAGAAUGUUAUCACGGGAGACACACGGCGGGUGCUAACGUCCGUCGUGAAGAGGGAAACAACCCAGACCGCCAGCUAAGGUCCCAAAGUCAUGGUUAAGUGGGAAACGAUGUGGGAAGGCACAGACAGCCAGGAUGUUGGCUUAGAAGCAGCCAUCAUUUAAAGAAAGCGUAAUAGCUCACUGGUCGAGUCGGCCUGCGCGGAAGAUGUAACGGGGCUAAACCAUGCACCGAAGCUGCGGCAGCGACACUAUGUGUUGUUGGGUAGGGGAGCGUUCUGUAAGCCUGCGAAGGUGUGCUGUGAGGCAUGCUGGAGGUAUCAGAAGUGCGAAUGCUGACAUAAGUAACGAUAAAGCGGGUGAAAAGCCCGCUCGCCGGAAGACCAAGGGUUCCUGUCCAACGUUAAUCGGGGCAGGGUGAGUCGACCCCUAAGGCGAGGCCGAAAGGCGUAGUCGAUGGGAAACAGGUUAAUAUUCCUGUACUUGGUGUUACUGCGAAGGGGGGACGGAGAAGGCUAUGUUAGCCGGGCGACGGUUGUCCCGGUUUAAGCAUGUAGGCUGGUUGUCCAGGCAAAUCCGGAUAAUCAAGGCUGAGGUGUGAUGACGAGGCACUACGGUGCUGAAGUAACAAAUGCCCUGCUUCCAGGAAAAGCCUCUAAGCAUCAGGUAACAUCAAAUCGUACCCCAAACCGACACAGGUGGUCAGGUAGAGAAUACCAAGGCGCUUGAGAGAACUCGGGUGAAGGAACUAGGCAAAAUGGUGCCGUAACUUCGGGAGAAGGCACGCUGGUGUGUAGGUGAAGCCCCUGCGGGUGGAGCUGAGACCAGUCGAAGAUACCAGCUGGCUGCAACUGUUUAUUAAAAACACAGCACUGUGCAAACACGAAAGUGGACGUAUACGGUGUGACGCCUGCCCGGUGCCGGAAGGUUAAUUGAUGGGGUUAUCCGUAAGGAGAAGCUCUUGAUCGAAGCCCCGGUAAACGGCGGCCGUAACUAUAACGGUCCUAAGGUAGCGAAAUUCCUUGUCGGGUAAGUUCCGACCUGCACGAAUGGCGUAAUGAUGGCCAGGCUGUCUCCACCCGAGACUCAGUGAAAUUGAACUCGCUGUGAAGAUGCAGUGUACCCGCGGCAAGACGGAAAGACCCCGUGAACCUUUACUAUAGCUUGACACUGAACAUUGAGCCUUGAUGUGUAGGAUAGGUGGGAGGCUUUGAAGCGUGGACGCCAGUCUGCGUGGAGCCAACCUUGAAAUACCACCCUUUAAUGUUUGAUGUUCUAACGUUGGCCCCUGACCGGGGUUGCGGACAGUGUCUGGUGGGUAGUUUGACUGGGGCGGUCUCCUCCCAAAGCGUAACGGAGGAGCACGAAGGUUAGCUAAUCCUGGUCGGACAUCAGGAGGUUAGUGCAAUGGCAUAAGCUAGCUUGACUGCGAGCGUGACGGCGCGAGCAGGUGCGAAAGCAGGUCAUAGUGAUCCGGUGGUUCUGAAUGGAAGGGCCAUCGCUCAACGGAUAAAAGGUACUCCGGGGAUAACAGGCUGAUACCGCCCAAGAGUUCAUAUCGACGGCGGUGUUUGGCACCUCGAUGUCGGCUCAUCACAUCCUGGGGCUGAAGUAGGUCCCAAGGGUAUGGCUGUUCGCCAUUUAAAGUGGUACGCGAGCUGGGUUUAGAACGUCGUGAGACAGUUCGGUCCCUAUCUGCCGUGGGCGCUGGAGAAUUGAGGGGGGCUGCUCCUAGUACGAGAGGACCGGAGUGGACGCAUCACUGGUGUUCGGGUUGUCAUGCCAAUGGCACUGCCCGGUAGCUAAAUGCGGAAGAGAUAAGUGCUGAAAGCAUCUAAGCACGAAACUUGCCCCGAGAUGAGUUCUCCCUGAGACUUUAAGUCUCCUGAAGGAACGUUGAAGACGACGACGUUGAUAGGCCGGGUGUGUAAGCGCAGCGAUGCGUUGAGCUAACCGGUACUAAUGAACCGUGAGGCUUAACCUU